This 496-nucleotide ribosomal RNA is filed under the name uncultured bacterium. RNAcentral's name for it is "partial 16S ribosomal RNA". It matches the Rfam family "Bacterial small subunit ribosomal RNA", at positions 28 to 507 of the family's 1533-position model. The record is from RNAcentral.
GAUGAACGCUGGCGGCGUGCCUAAUACAUGCAAGUCGAGCGAACAGACGAGGAGCUUGUUCCUUUGACGUUAGCGGCGGACGGGUGAGUAACACGUGGAUAACCUACCUAUAAGACUGGGAUAAUUUCGGGAAACCGGAGCUAUAAAGGCCAAAUAAUUCAACCGGAUGGAUCAAUAGUGAAUGACGGCUUUGCUGUCAUUUAUAGACGGAUCCGGGCCGCAUUAGCUAGUUGGUAAGGUAACGGCUUACCAAGGCGACGAUGCGUAGCCGGCCUGAGAGGAUGAUCAGCCACACUGGAACUGAGACACGGUCCAGACUCCUACGGGAGGCAGCAGUGGGGAAUCUUCCGCAAUGGGCGAAAGCCUGACGGAGCAACACCGCGUGAGUGAUGAAGGUCUUCGGAUCGUAAAACUCUGUUAUUGGGAAAGAACAGCAGUGUGAUUAACUAUGCACGUCUUGACGGUACCUAAUCAGAAAGCCACGGCUAACUACGUG